UAUGUACUCCCUCCGUCCCAAAAUACUUGUCGAAGAAAUAGAUAAAAAUGGAUGUAUCUAGAACUAAAAUACGUCUAGAUACGUCCAUUUCUUCGACAAGUAUUUCCGCACGGAGGGAGUAUGUA
This is a non-coding RNA of Triticum aestivum (bread wheat), 125 nucleotides long. The record is from Rfam. NCBI's taxonomy places the organism in Eukaryota, Viridiplantae, Streptophyta, Magnoliopsida, Poales, Poaceae.